Small nuclear RNA from Myotis lucifugus (little brown bat), 107 nucleotides. NCBI's taxonomy places the organism in Eukaryota, Metazoa, Chordata, Mammalia, Chiroptera, Vespertilionidae. The record is from Ensembl.
GUGCUCACUUUGGCAGCACAUAUGCUAAAAUUGGAAUGAUACAGAGAAGGUUAGCAUGGCCCUACCGCAAGCAUGACACACAAAUUCAUGAAGCAUUCCAUAUUAAA